GUACACGCUGUGACUAGCAUAUCAAUAAGCGGAGGAAAAGAAACUAACAAGGAUUCCCCUAGUAACGGCGAGUGAAGCGGGAAGAGCUCAAAUUUGAAAUCUUAAAGGUUUCCCUUUACGAAUUGUAGUUUAAAGAAGUGUUUUCUGUUGAGGUUUUGGUAAAAGUUCUUUGGAAUAGGACAUCAUAGAGGGUGAGAAUCCCGUAUUUGACCUUUACUUUCAACUUUGUGAUACACUUUCAAAGAGUCGGAUUGUUUGGGAAUGCAGUCCAAAAUGGGUGGUAAAUUUCAUCUAAAGCUAAAUAUUGGCGAGAGACCGAUAGCGUACAAGUACCGUGAGGGAAAGAUGAAAAGAACUUUGAAAAGAGAGUUAAACAGUACGUGAAAUUGUCAAAAGGGAAGCGUUUGACACCAGUGUUGUUUUUCUGAAAAUCAAUUAAAGAACUGUUUAUGCUAAGCUGUUUAGACUUUAUCAGCUAUCUGUUUAGUUUUGAGCUUUUCUUUAAUGCACUUUUCAGUUAACAAGUCAACAUCAAUUUCUUUUGCUGUAAAAAAGCUUGAGGAAGGUGGCUUGAGAUUCGUCUUAAGUGUUUAUAGCCUCUUGCCUAUGCAGUCGGAGAGAUUGAGGUCUGCAGCGUAGAUCCUUCGGGGCUAAAUGCAUUUGUGCUAAGUUAUAGCAUUUUAUAGACAACUUGUUGACUAUGAUUUGUCUUGUAGCUUACUCGCUUAUGUUAUUUUACCUACGCUUAGGAUGUUGAAGAUGUAGCACAUCAU
This 773-nucleotide ribosomal RNA is filed under the name uncultured Neocallimastigales. RNAcentral's name for it is "partial large subunit ribosomal RNA". It matches the Rfam family "Eukaryotic large subunit ribosomal RNA", at positions 22 to 635 of the family's 3401-position model. The record is from RNAcentral. Lineage: Eukaryota; Fungi; Neocallimastigomycota; Neocallimastigomycetes; Neocallimastigales.